ACUUAGACGUUGCCGGCGCGGGUGAAAGUGUAGUAUCUGUUCUGAUCAGCUUAAUAUCUGAUACGGCUGUAUUUGGAGCAAAGAUGUUAAACUUAUUUUUGCAAGUGGGCGGAGUGCUAAAAGCCUGCUUCACAUCCGCCGCGGGUUGACCCGGUAUUGCAUUGCCUUCGGGAUUGGUACACGUUUG
Small nuclear RNA from Dermacentor andersoni, 187 nucleotides. RefSeq annotates it as U2 spliceosomal RNA. Lineage: Eukaryota; Metazoa; Arthropoda; Arachnida; Ixodida; Ixodidae. The record is from RefSeq and is a predicted model, not a curated record.